CGAGGUGGUGCAGUGGUUGUCGUCAGCUCGUGUCGUGAGAUUGGUUGGGUUAAGUCCGCAACGAGCGCAACCUCGACCUUAGUUGCCAGCAUUCAGUUGGGCACUCUAAGGUGACUGCCGGCUAAAAGUCGGAGAAGGUGGGGAUGACGUCAAAUCAUCAUGCCCCUUAUGACCUGGGCUACACACGUGCUACAAUGGGCGGUACAAAGGGUCGCGAACCCGCGAGGGGGAGCCAAUCCCAAAAAGCCGCUCUCAGUUCGGAUUGCAGGCUGCAAUUCGCCUGCAUGAAGUCGGAAUCGCUAGUAAUCGCAGGUCAGCAUACUGCGGUGAAUACGUUCCCGGGCCUU
Molecule: ribosomal RNA, 347 nt
Filed under: uncultured Anoxybacillus sp.
Lineage: Bacteria; Bacillati; Bacillota; Bacilli; Caryophanales; Anoxybacillaceae
Description: bacterial SSU rRNA
Rfam family: Bacterial small subunit ribosomal RNA
Source: RNAcentral